AUGGCAUCCUCUUCUUCUUUCCUCCGUUCUCCGGCCUCCUUCCAGCCGGCCACCGGAGCCUGCGGCCACGUCCGCUGGGCCCAGCCGUUGGCACCCCCCAAACCGCACCGCUCGCCACUCCCGCCGGCGGCCACGCCCGGGGUGCCGCGCAGGCUCCUCCUGCCGGCGGCCGCUGGCAUCUGGGACUUCCUCUCCGGCGGUGCGGCCGGUGCAGCGGCCGCGCCCCUUGCCGUCCGGCGAGGUAUGCAGCUCUUCCAGCAGGGAGAUGUGGCUGGGUCAGUGGCGGAGUUCGAUCGCGCGAUCGAGCUGGAUCCGCGGCAGAAAGCAUGUACAUCUCUGGCAGAGGGGGCUGUCGCUGUAUUACCUCGACAGGUGCAUAAUCCAAUGAGUAAUCAGGCACCUGACAUCUGCAACUGCAACUAUCCUACCCACCGUUGGGUUUCAGUUUUCUUUCAUUUUCGGACAUUGGCAUAUUACAUAUACAGGUUCGAGGACGCCGCGGAGCAGUUCAGGCUGGACGUUGCUGCCAACCCCAACGACACCGAAGAGUCGAUAUGGUGUUUCCUCUCUGAAGCUCAGCUGUAUGGGGUGGACGGGGCAAGGAACCGCUUCUUGGAGGUUGGUUUAGAUCGAAGACCCGUGAUGCGCGAAGCUUACGCCUUGUUCAAAGAUGGUGGGGACCCUGAAAAGUUAGCUUCAAAUUUUUCUAGUAGCUCUGGUGGCGAACUCUUCUAUGCAUCAUUAUACGCUGGACUUUACUAUGAAUCUCAGAAGGACGCAGACCUGGCAAAAUCUCAUAUUGUUGCUGCAUGCAAGACACCUUAUGGAUCAAGGUCUGGUGAUUACAUGGCUUCCCUUGCAGUGGUUCAUUGUCAGUGCCGCAACUGGACCCUCGAGGGAUAG
RNAcentral lists this ribosomal RNA (903 nucleotides) under Triticum aestivum (bread wheat). RNAcentral's name for it is "partial small subunit ribosomal RNA". The record is from RNAcentral. Lineage: Eukaryota; Viridiplantae; Streptophyta; Magnoliopsida; Poales; Poaceae.